This is a long non-coding RNA of Triticum aestivum (bread wheat), 907 nucleotides long. RefSeq lists it as uncharacterized. NCBI's taxonomy places the organism in Eukaryota, Viridiplantae, Streptophyta, Magnoliopsida, Poales, Poaceae. The transcript is spliced from 3 exons. The record is from RefSeq and is a predicted model, not a curated record.
AAGUGUAGAAUAGCUGCAAUGCUUCUCCAACAGUGCUCCCGAUUUUGGACACGAGCAGAUAUAUAGGUAUUCAGGGCUCCGGCGGCGGACCUCGCCGUGCGCUGCACUGGGCCCUCCGGCGAUCGACCUCGCCACGGUAAUGACGUACAGUGCCCCGACUUCCAGCGCACAGCCCGCCCCAUCCCCGCGCCGCCAUUCUCCACCUUGGCGCCACCCAAUCCCCACACCUGGCGCCAGAUCCGCCCGCCGACGCCUAGCUCCACCAUCUGCCGACGACAAAGAAGAGAACUCCAGCCUUCAGGUGUAAAAAGAUGGCACUACAUUCCUACAGAUUUAGCAUUUUGGUGCUAUAUGUCAUGACAUAAUGCCAGUUCAGCUUGGCACUGCAUGCAACUAAACAUUGUGAUGACAAGAUGAAAUACUUUCACAAGUUAUUGGUGAUGCUCUUGCACACUUGAGGCAGAUGGGGCCAUUUGACGAGCAAAAUAAAGUUCAAGAAUUUGAAUCCUUCACCGGAAUGACAUUCCCAACCAUAAUUUGAAUAUAGUAUGUCUGUUGUCAGGUUUUCCUAAUGUGUUUUUCUUGUUUGCAGAGCAAGUAGCGUCCACGAAUGUCCAACAUCAAUAUAUUGCUCUAUUUACGAAGUCGGCCAUCACGGCUCAAAUGCACAACCCAACCCAUGGGGAUGGCAUCCUUUACUCUGCGUUAGAGAUUGGAUGAGAAAUUUCUUCGUUUAUGUGAUAUGUAAACUUCCAUUGGUGUGGAUUUCUGCUACAACUUGUACACCUAGUUGAAUAUGUUUCUGCAAUAUAUGUGUACCUGUUAAUCAGUUAUACCUUGGGCUGUAAAUAAUAUUUGGGUUGCAACUCUAGUUAUGUUCUUCAUGGUAGAUUUAUGUGUAUUGCCA